This is a long non-coding RNA of Calliphora vicina (urban bluebottle blowfly), 380 nucleotides long. RefSeq lists it as uncharacterized. The transcript is spliced from 2 exons. NCBI's taxonomy places the organism in Eukaryota, Metazoa, Arthropoda, Insecta, Diptera, Calliphoridae. The record is from RefSeq and is a predicted model, not a curated record.
CAUGGAUGGCAUGGGUACAGAUGAUACGACUUUAAUACGCAUUAUAGUGUCACGUUCUGAAAUUGAUUUGGGCAACAUUAAAGAGGAGUUCGAACGUAUAUAUAAUCGUACUCUAGUUAGUGCUGUAAAGUCGGAAACUUCUGGUGAUUACAAACGUGCUCUGUGUGCCUUGAUUGGUGGUGCAUAAUUUAAUGCGAUUUUUAAUUCUACGAAUCUCUCUUUGGCAAAAUAAAAAUCUCUAACUUAUUUAUUUUUUAUUUCACAAUUGGUAGUGUGCAGCUUUAAACAAUGAAAUUGCAAAGUAUUAACAAAAUAGUUUCCUUGAUUUUGAUUUGUUUGAUUUUUUUUAAUAAACAAAAGCAAUGUGGUGUCUUGUAAAA